Molecule: ribosomal RNA, 465 nt
Filed under: uncultured bacterium
Lineage: Bacteria
Description: partial 16S ribosomal RNA
Rfam family: Bacterial small subunit ribosomal RNA
Source: RNAcentral
GACGAACGCUGGCGGCGUGCUUAACACAUGCAAGUCGAACGGAAAGGCCCUGCUUGCAGGGUACUCGAGUGGCGAACGGGUGAGUAACACGUGGGUGAUCUGCCCUGCACUUCGGGAUAAGCCUGGGAAACUGGGUCUAAUACCGGAUAGGAGCCAUCUUUAGUGUGAUGGUUGGAAAGUUUUUUCGGUGUAGGAUGAGCUCGCGGCCUAUCAGCUUGUUGGUGGGGUAAUGGCCUACCAAGGCGGCGGCGGGUAGCCGGCCUGGGAGGGUGGACGGCCACAUUGGGACUGAGAUACGGCCCAGAAUCCUACGGGAGGCAGGAGUGGGGAAUAUUGCACAAAGGGCGGGAGCCUGAUGCAGCGACGCCGCGGGGGGGAUGACGGCCUUCGGGUUGGAAACUCCUUUCGCUAGGGACGAAGCUUUUUGUGACGGUACCUAGAUAAGAAGCACCGGCUAACUACGUG